UUAUAAGUUCAUGCAAAAGGUGGUUUGGAUUAAAUGUCCAAGCCUUAAAAGGGAAGUUCGGUUAAAAGCCGACACGGUCGCGCCACUGUAAGAGUGAGCUGCUUAUGAUAUACCACUAUUUGAUAUUGUUAUGAAGCACAAUAUUGAAUGGGAAGGAAUAAGUUAGCGAUGAACUCGAGUCAGGAGACCUGCCUUUUGUACGCACUAGUA
Molecule: non-coding RNA, 210 nt
Filed under: Bacillus sp. (in: firmicutes)
Lineage: Bacteria; Bacillati; Bacillota; Bacilli; Caryophanales; Bacillaceae
Source: RNAcentral